RNAcentral lists this ribosomal RNA (492 nucleotides) under uncultured bacterium. RNAcentral's name for it is "partial 16S ribosomal RNA". It matches the Rfam family "Bacterial small subunit ribosomal RNA", at positions 28 to 507 of the family's 1533-position model. The record is from RNAcentral.
GAUGAACGCUAGCUACAGGCUUAACACAUGCAAGUCGAGGGGAAACGACAUCGAAAGCUUGCUUUUGAUGGGCGUCGACCGGCGCACGGGUGAGUAACGCGUAUCCAACCUGCCCAUCACUUGGGAAUAACCUUGCGAAAGUAAGACUAAUACCCAAUGAUAUCCCACGAAGGCAUCGGAAUGGGAUUAAAGAUUUAUCGGUGAUGGAUGGGGAUGCGUCUGAGUAGCUUGUUGGCGGGGUAACGGCCCACCAAGGCAACGAUCAGUAGGGGUUCUGGGAGGAAGGUCCCACACAUUGGAACUGAAACACAGUCCAAACUCCUACGGGAGGCAGCAGUGAGGAAUAUGGGUCAAUGGGCGAGAGCCUGAACCAGCCAAGUAGCGUGCAGGAAGACGGCCCUAUGGGUUGUAAACUGCUUUUAUAAGGGAAUAAAGUGGGUCACGUGUGACUGUUUGCAUGUACCUUAUGAAUAAGGACCGGCUAAUUCCGUG